AGGGGAAUAUCUGGGUCAAAUGGUGAUUCCAUUCCCAGCUUUCUAAGAAAUCUCCAUACUACUUUCCAAAUUGGCUGCACCAAUUUGCACUCCCACCAGCAAU
This 103-nucleotide microRNA precursor is filed under the name Marmota monax (woodchuck). Lineage: Eukaryota; Metazoa; Chordata; Mammalia; Rodentia; Sciuridae. The record is from RNAcentral.